AGAUUGAACGCUGGCGGAAUGCUUUACACAUGCAAGUCGAACGGCAGCACGGGACUCAGGCAACUGAGCCCUGGUGGCGAGUGGCGAACGGGUGAGUAACAUAUCGGAACGUACCCAGUCGUGGGGGAUAACUCUCCGAAAGGAGAGCUAAUACCGCAUACGUCCUGAGGGAGAAAGCGGGGGACCUAAGGGUAACCGAGGGCCUCGCGCGAUUGGAGCGGCCGAUAUCGGAUUAGCUAGUCGGUGAGGUAAAGGCUCACCAAGGCGACGAUCCGUAGCGGGUCUGAGAGGACGACCCGCCACACUGGAACUGAGACACGGUCCAGACUCCUACGGGAGCAGCAGUGGGGAAUUUUGGACAAUGGGGGCAACCCUGAUCCAGCC
This 384-nucleotide ribosomal RNA is filed under the name uncultured soil bacterium. RNAcentral's name for it is "bacterial SSU rRNA". It matches the Rfam family "Bacterial small subunit ribosomal RNA", at positions 26 to 393 of the family's 1533-position model. The record is from RNAcentral.